GCUAUUGCUGUGAUUGACCUUCCUUUUUCUGGCCUGAAAGACAUUCAGGGAAAGAGGAAGAGAUGGCAGUUUCUUGGGGCUCAGUGACCUAUGAAGAUGUAGCUGUGAUGUUCACUCAAGAGGAGUGGGCACUAUUGAAUCCUUCAGAGAAGAAACUCAACGGAGAUGUGAUGUGUGAAAACUUGAGGAACUUUCUUUCAAUAGGUAACUCUAAUCGUCUUAAUUUUUCAACUAGAAGACAAAUCGCUUUUUCUUCACCAAUGUGUAAAUGGAGACAGUGUUAAGUGAGCAGGGUUUGAUUGUGACUCAUAAUGCAUCACAAAUUCAGUCUUGUGGUCCAGGAGGUGGCGCAGU
This is a long non-coding RNA of Erinaceus europaeus (western European hedgehog), 354 nucleotides long. RefSeq lists it as uncharacterized. NCBI's taxonomy places the organism in Eukaryota, Metazoa, Chordata, Mammalia, Eulipotyphla, Erinaceidae. The transcript is spliced from 2 exons. The record is from RefSeq and is a predicted model, not a curated record.